Oncorhynchus nerka (sockeye salmon) is the source of this 1761-nucleotide long non-coding RNA. RefSeq lists it as uncharacterized. The record is from RefSeq and is a predicted model, not a curated record. NCBI's taxonomy places the organism in Eukaryota, Metazoa, Chordata, Actinopteri, Salmoniformes, Salmonidae. The transcript has 2 exons.
GUUUCCACUUGCCUCGAAAGAAAGGUGUAUUUAAUGUUCAAGCAUUCUUAUUGGUUGGUUCAAUUCUGAUGAAAAUAAGGCGUGUUGUGAUUGGCCCCGCUUGCAGAUGGGGGAGAUCGCGAACGUCAGGUGUCCCCAGUAUGAAAUGUGAUGCAAGGGGAAAAGUAGCUGCUGGAGAUGAUCGUGGACUACAGGAAAAGGAGGCCCGAACAGGCCUCCAUUAACAUCGACGGGGCUGUAGUGGAGCGGGUCGAGAGUUUCAAGUUCCUUGGUGUCCACAUCACCAACAAACUCAUGGUCCAAACACACCAAGACAGUUGUGAAGAGGGCACGGCAACAUCUUGUCCCCCACAGGAGACUGAAAAGAUUUGGUAUAGGUUCCAAGAUCAUCAAAAAGUUCUACAGCUGCACCAUCAAGAGCAUCACCGCCUGGCAUGGCAACUGCUCGGCAUCCGACCGUAAGGCGCUACAGAGGUUAGUGCGUAUGGCCCUAUACAUCACUGGGGCCAAGCUUCCUGCCAUCCAGGACCUAUAUACUAGGCGGUGUCAGAGGAAGGCCCCAAAAAUUGUCAAAGACUCCAGUCAUCCAAGUCAUAGACUGUUCUCUCUGCUAUCGCACGGCAAGCGGCAAGGCUAGGUCGAAUAGGCUCCUUAACAGCUUCUAUCCCCAAGCUAUAAGACUGCUGAACAAUUAAUCAAAUGGCCACCCGGACUAUUUACAUUGAACCCCCCCCAUUUUUACACUGCUGCUACUCGCCGUUUAUUAUCUAUGCAUUGUCACUUUACCCCUAUCUACAUGUACAAAUUACCUCGACUAACCUGUACCCCCGCACAUUGACUUGGUACUGGUUCCCCCUGUAUAUAGCCUCGUUAUUGUUAUGUAAUUUUGUUGAGUACUUUUUAUUACAUUUUUUACUUUAGUUUAUUUAGUAAAUAUUUUCUUAGCUCUUUCUUGAACUUCUCUGUUGGUUAAGGGCUUGUAAGUAAGCAUUUCACGGUAAGGUAGUAAGGUCUACACCAGUUGUAUUCAGAGCAUGUGACAAAUAACAUUUGAUUUGAUAUAUUUGAUUUACUACCUUGGCAGCAUCUGAUGGGAUCCCUAAUAAAUACAAAAAAUAUAUAUAAACAGUAUACACAGUAUAUUAUACUGUAUAUAUUGUGUGUGUAUCUGUGUGUGCAUGUGUUCCUACUGAGACGGAUGGCGUCUCCAAAUUAAGAAUAUGCCACUGACUUCAGAGCAACUGUCUUGGUUAGGCAGGGAGCUUACCUCCAGCCAAGUUUUAUGAGCAGAAUCAGAGAGCCUGACCUCCCUCUGUCUGUCUGUCUGUCUGUACGUACCAACCACCAACUUGUCUAGCCAGUUAGUUGUUUUUAUUGGAUGAUGUUUCUUUUCAUGAGCAAUACAUGUGAGAUCACGUUACAUUGGGUGAUGUUUCUUUUCAUGAGCAAUACAUGUGAGAUCACGUUACAUUGGGUGAUGUUUCUUUUCAUGAGCAAUACAUGUGAGAUCACGUUACAUUGGGUGAUGUUUCUUUUCAUGAGCAAUACAUGUGAGAUCACGUUACAUUGGGUGAUGUUUCUUUUAAUGAGCAAUACAUGUGAGAUCACGUUACAUUGGGUGAUGUUUCUUUUCAUGAGCAAUACAUGUGAGAUCACGUUACAUUGGAUGAUGUUUCUUUUCAUGAGCAAUACAUGUGAGAUCACGUUACAUUGGGUGAUGUUUGUUUUCAUGAGCAAUACAUGUGAGAUCACGUUACAUUG